Molecule: ribosomal RNA, 513 nt
Filed under: uncultured bacterium
Lineage: Bacteria
Description: partial 16S ribosomal RNA
Rfam family: Bacterial small subunit ribosomal RNA
Source: RNAcentral
GAUGAACGCUGGCGGCGUGCCUAAUACAUGCAAGUCGAGCGAACAGACGAGGAGCUUGCUCCUCUGACGUUAGCGGCGGACGGGUGAGUAACACGUGGAUAACCUACCUAUAAGACUGGGAUAACUUCGGGAAACCGGAGCUAAUACCGGAUAAUAUAUUGAACCGCAUGGUUCAAUAGUGAAAGACGGUUUUGCUGUCACUUAUAGAUGGAUCCGCGCCGCAUUAGCUAGUUGGUAAGGUAACGGCUUACCAAGGCAACGAUGCGUAGCCGACCUGAGAGGGUGAUCGGCCACACUGGAACUGAGACACGGUCCAGACUCCUACGGGAGGCAGCAGUAGGGAAUCUUCCGCAAUGGGCGAAAGCCUGACGGAGGAACGCCGCGUGAGUGAUGGAGGUCUUCGGAUCGUAAAACUCUGUUAUUAGGGAAGAACAAAUGUGUAAGUAACUAUGCACGUCUUGACGGUACCUAAUCAGAAAGCCACGGCUAACUACGUGCCAGCCGCCGCGGUAA